CCCUUUGAUACUCUGGGCGGUACGCGCGCUACACUGGUUUAUAUAACGUGUAAUUUGGACGAUAGUCUGUAUAAAUCACUAAUAUAAAACCGUGAAUGGGAUAGUUUAUUGCAACUUACAAACUUUAACUAGGAAUCCCUUGUAGAAGUAGUGAAUUAUACUGCUUCGAAUACGUCCCUGCCCUUUGUACACACCGCCCGUCGCACCUACCGAUUGGAUGGUCCGGUGAAGCCUCGGGAUUGUGGUUCUUGCCGCUUUAUUGUGGCGUGACCGCGAGAACUUGUCUAAACCUUAUCAUCUAGAGGAAGGUGAAGUCGUAACA
RNAcentral lists this ribosomal RNA (322 nucleotides) under uncultured eukaryote. Its description in RNAcentral is "partial 18S ribosomal RNA". It matches the Rfam family "Eukaryotic small subunit ribosomal RNA", at positions 1470 to 1796 of the family's 1831-position model. The record is from RNAcentral.